Long non-coding RNA from Lineus longissimus, 874 nucleotides. RefSeq lists it as uncharacterized. NCBI's taxonomy places the organism in Eukaryota, Metazoa, Nemertea, Pilidiophora, Heteronemertea, Lineidae. The record is from RefSeq and is a predicted model, not a curated record. The transcript is spliced from 3 exons.
CAGGGCCAAGUACCGCACCGAAUGAUUGAAGUGCAACGUCAAUGACUGAGGAACAGGAAGUCGGUUAGAGACGAUCAUGUCCCCCACCGAACUAUUGACAUACAAAAAUGAUUGAGAAGAAGAGUUUUGAUUUGGAAUGGAAGAAACAAUGAAGUAGUGGUCUCAGUUCUGACAAUAUGACAGAGCCGGUCUUCAUUUACCAUCACAUGAGGGUGAAAGGCAAAGUCCGGAUCACCUCCAGAAUCUCCUGCUGUCUUGGCCCGCGACAGAGCAACGAACAGAGCGCCAGGAUUUCUAGACUAGAAAGCUCUUGUCCCGGGAUGAAUGACAAUGUAACGGUGAACCAUACUUACUAAUGCAGAAAAACUAUGGCUGAGAUGAUCGGACUGCAAUCAUGAAGUUACAUCCAUGGAGACAGGAUUUGGACAGAAGGUCUCAUUCGUGCGAAAGGAAACGAAACGAAAAGGCGCAGGAAUAACCCGAAUGUGCCAACCACAAGCUUUCACCAUCAAACACAUUAUUCAAGAUGGGUCCCAAGGAUUCCUUAUUUUCAAGGAUGUGACUAUAGGAUGUAAGAUAUCACAGCACAUUCAACAGGAUGUCCCAGAUAAGGUGGACGCAUCCAUGGGUGACUGUUUGUGUGCAGUGCCAGUGGUAACUUGCAUGAUGAAAUUUGGGUCACAUCAAUGGAGACAUGGGAUACUGUCUUCAGGAUUACAGUGUCACAUCCUGAGACAACCAUCAGUGGUGAUUGCAGACUACCUUCGAAAUUGCAACGUCACAUCAAGAGACGACCAUAUUUGGUAGCUCUGAGUGGUGACAGCAGAUAUCUUUAAAACUGCUGUAGAUAUGGCUGUCUUCUGGUUUUGUAGGG